Molecule: non-coding RNA, 28 nt
Filed under: Mus musculus (house mouse)
Lineage: Eukaryota; Metazoa; Chordata; Mammalia; Rodentia; Muridae
Source: RNAcentral
UGGUCACAACUGCCGACUGUUUCUGGCU